AAGUCUAUAAUUUAACGGUUAAAAUGCUUCUUUGAUAAGGAAGAAAUAGGUGUUCGAUUCUCCUUAGACUUA
Molecule: transfer RNA, 72 nt
Organism: Pachysolen tannophilus NRRL Y-2460
Lineage: Eukaryota; Fungi; Ascomycota; Pichiomycetes; Alaninales; Pachysolenaceae
Rfam family: tRNA
About the family: Transfer RNA (tRNA) molecules are approximately 80 nucleotides in length.
Source: Rfam